Molecule: long non-coding RNA, 4381 nt
Filed under: Solanum tuberosum (potato)
Lineage: Eukaryota; Viridiplantae; Streptophyta; Magnoliopsida; Solanales; Solanaceae
Description: long non-coding RNA (STUB_LNC009137)
Source: RNAcentral
GACGCCAACUUAUGACAAAAAUUAUCUCUUAGGUUAGUAUCUGAUGCACCUGUUUAUAUAAUUUGGGACAAUUCUAUGUUUCUAGUGUGGAUAAAUUUUUAUCAGCCUUGCUGUAGUACAUUUUCUUUCCAAUGUUUUACUACAUAUGUAAUGUCUUUAAAAUAACUGCUUGUCUUUGUGUGCAGAGCCAUUUGAAGGAGUAGCUUAUUGCACCGGACAAACCUUGGUAUGAAUUUUUGUCUGUGAUAUUGUAUACACUAGUUUGAUGUUUAUUCUAGGGGAUGUACAAGAGUUCAUGGUAGAGUUCAUUUCAAGAUUAAAUUUUUUAAAGUUGCAUCAAGAUUUUUUCUUUGUUAACUGUGGUGUCAGGGCCAACUUGCACACACCUCACUAAUUACCGGGGAAACUUGCCACCCCAACUAGCAAUAGGUACCAGGUACCUCCAACUACCAGGGUUAGGAAGGAUGGGAAGAAACCAUCAUUAGUAUUUCUAUCUCAGCUGCUGCGAUUUGAACCUGAAACCUUAAUAGUUCUCAACCAACUUGAUUAACCACUAGGCCACACCUUUGGGUACAAUUUUGUGUCAAGAUUAAUUAUAGGGAUAAUUUUAGAGACCUCCCUCAAGGUUCAACUUUCUAACACUAAUUUCUCUUGCGAUUUACGAUAUUACGCUUGCGCUCCCUCUUUUUAUGGCAACAGUUUUGUUAACUUAUUUAUCAUUAAUAUAUAAAAAGUAUGACUAUUUUCCUUUCUAGUAUAUUCUUUUGUUAAAUUGAUUUUGUAAAUAUGUGCCCAAUUGCACGCAGGCAAGGGGAACCACUUACUAGAAUCGAAGUGCAUUCUACCGUCAGAAAAGUCAAAGUUGAUUUGUUAAUACACAAAGUAACUAAUCCAUAUUUCUUCUUUAUAUAAAAAAGAACUGACACAAUUUUCUGGAAGUUCUCGAAUGUUGAGUAUAUUCAAUUAUUUUAAAUGUUUUGUCCACCCUCUUCCAUCUAUCCCCCUUUGCAAAAGUUUCAUUUGCAAUUUGUAUGCAUACUCAAUAUCACAAUCCCUGAAAUAGUGCAAAGACUGUGUGAAUUGAAUAGUCAUUCUAAUCAUUGAUCAGAUCUACUCAAGGAAUAGACAGACAGCGAAAAGCGACAAGGGUUUGCCUCGCCUCGCGGUGAGGCGCUCGCCUUUUUGAAUUGAGGCGCUAAUUAAUACCAAAAGCACAAAAUAUUUAAUUGCAUUUAUAAAUAUCCAAAAUCUCAGUAAUGACAUAUUAACAAAUAUUUCAAUUCAAAGUCUAGAACUUGAAUGACUCAAUAAUUCAUAAGACAAUUGACAAACAAUAUUAGAACUCUAAAAGCCUAUUCUUCUUCAAAAUUAUCAAAAUCUUAAAGUUCAACAUCCAUUUCAUUAUGAUUAUAUUGCUCCUCAGAUUCUUCAUCAGUUAGUGUUCGAGUCCUACUUGAACUUGUAGAUUUAGUUUAUACUCCUUUGUCCUUGUCAAGUGUCGUUGAACUUGAAGAAAUUCCCCUUAGACCAUAGAUAUUCUCGUUAGCUACAAUUGCCGUAGCAACAAUACCCCAAGUAAGAUCACCUUCCUCAUAUACUAGUUUAUCUUCUUGAUCUUCGAGGCAUCCAACUAAGCAUUCAUUUGACUCAUCAAUAUUCUCCAAGGCAAUUGCAUCAAUGGUAUCAUGAGCAUCAUAGCAACGUUUCAAUAUUCUAUUGUACUUAUUGACUAACGUACACUAAAUCAUUGAGACGCGAUAGUGCCACCCUAUUUCUCUUUUUGGAAUUAAUCUGCUGUUGUAGAUAUUAACUAAUAGAUACUAAUAAUAAUAUAAUAUGGAAAUUAGAAUAUAAAAUAUUAUUCUUACAUGUUCAAACACUCUAAUUUCGCUCACAUCCGAAUGAGCUACAAAUUAGACUUAAUACUUUCAUGGCAAACUUUUGCAAGGUUGGAGUUUGGCUACUAAAUAGCGAAACCAUUCAACCAUAAAAAAAUAAAUUUAAGGGUUAAUAAGUAUAAAUAAGUCAAAUCUCUUGAGUAAUGCUAUAGUAUAACGAACUAAAUUAACUCACUUACUCGGUGACCUUAAGUCUUUGGCUCUUUGAGCCUGAUCACAACCAAACAUUCCAUCUGCAUUUUUGUACCUAGGAAGCUCAACGACUAGUAAAUUUUGUGUUGUUAUUUCGGGGUUCAUCUUCUCAACACAUGCACGACAACCCGUCCACACAUCAAAAUGUUUAGUGCCAUCUUCUUGAGCUUUAUAAAACAAUCUCGGGAUCAAAAUAUGGUCUGCAACAUGCAUAGGCCAAUGGAGUUGGUCAGUCCACCUUGCAUCAAUAAUUUAAAACACUUUCUUAUAUUGUUUCUUAACUCCACAAAAAGUCCGCUCAAUAGUUUCCUUGGCUCUAUCCAUUGCUUCAUAAAUAUAGGCCAUUGGUGGUUUAUUUCCCCAUCUACCAAACGAAAAACUACUGUCAAAGGACCACAAACUUAAGUGCCCGAACAACAUCAUUCCAAAAGUGGGAAGAAAUAAGAAGGUUGGCAACUUCUUUCCCCAAAGUUUCCUUUACAAAUCUACUUGAAGUCCAUUCGUUUGAGAGGACUAGAAUUCUCAAGUUUUUCUUUUGUUUGUACAUAGCUUUCAAAGUCAAGUAGCUUGUUGCAAAUCUUGUCUUGGCUGGUUUCACCAAAUUUCUUUCAUUGGUUAAUUUUCUCAUCAAGUUCAACCACAAUGACCUUUGACUAUUGUAAAAAUGGAUCUUGAUGGCCUUCUUAAAAAGUGUUAAAGUAAAAUUAUAGUAAUUAGUAGCUAGUAAGUAUUUUUAACUAUAAAGAAAGUUAGAGGAUAGGAGAGUGAUAUUACCUGAAGCAUAUGGGUUAAUCUUGAAUAUGUCACCAAACGUCAAAUUGAUGCAAUGAGCAACACAUGGAGUCCAAUAAAUGUGUCGAUACGCUCCUAUCAUCAUGCUUCCUGCUUUAAUAUUUUCACUAGCGUUAUUAGUGACAACUUGUACAACAUUUUCCAAUCAUAUUCUUUCAAUAGUGUUCUCGAACAAGUUGUACAUUUUGGUAGAAUCGGUAUAUUUAUUGUUAGCAUCAACAAAACCAAGAAAUACACUAACGAUUGAAGAAUUCACCAAAAUAUUGAUGAUCAUUUAAACUUUUUGUGCCAUCCAUUUAUCUAUCAUAAUGGAACAUCCAAACUUUCUCCAUUGCACUUUAUGCUCAUCAAUAGUUUUGUCCACUUUCUUCACAUCUUUUUUUAGGUGAGUAACUCUAAUUUCAUGGAAGGAAGGAGGCUUCAUUCCGGGGCCACGUUGCCUAAUGCCUCAAUGAAUUUAUCAAAUGAUUUGUAAUUAACACAAUUAAAAGGGAGCCCCGCAUCGUACAUCCGUUAUGCAAAAGCACUUACCAUGCGCUCCCUUAGAAUUUUCUAGGUUUCAUCAAAUCCUACUCCCUUUUCAAAGCCUCCCUUUUGUUGUGAUUUUUCUGAAAAAUAGAGAUUGAGAGGACAUUUCGUCACGUUCCGCUCCGUGGAUGAUGCACUUACACUAGAAGACAUCUUUUGAGUUUUCGAGGGAGGCAUCAUUUCACCAUAUUUAUCCAUAUCAUCAUCAUCAUCAAUAUUAACCACAUGUUCUUCUUGCUGCCUCAUCUGAUAUUUCGGAUAACUCGCAAUUUUAGUUUCCACCUAUGCCCUUAUUUCUUCUAUAACUUCUGUCCGACAACCAUUGUUUUACAUUUCUGUUUCCACCCAUCAAAAGUUGCUUGUGUCGAGUAACACCACCAUUAAAAGUAACUUUACAGAACAUACAUAUAAAUGAUUUUUUUGUUGGUCCUUGCAUACCAUAAUUCCAUCCAAUGUCCUUUUUUUUGCUAGCAUCAUACGUCAUUGAAAUCACUAUUUAUGGACAAAGAAAUACUAUAUUGUUUAGUAUAAAACUAAAUUGAGUAGGGAAGACACAAAUAUAGAAGGAUUAGAUUUUAUUUUUUAAAUAUAGGCAGAUUGCAAUAGUCAAUAGCUCCAGAAAUAAAAAACCAGAGCAUAAAAAACAGACUCUGCACACUGCACACAGCUGUGCUGACUGCAUAUUAAAGAUGAAGAAGAGAAGAAGAGAAGAAGAAAAAGAAAAAAAGGGUGCUGAAAACGUACCUGCUGAGGUCACGAAGCAGAGGAGAAAGAAGAACUGAAGAAGUACCUGCUGGAGAAGAGAGUCGGGAAGCUGAAGAAGAGGGUUCCGAAGCUUGCAGACUGCGAACGAAAGAAAAAAGGGAGUAGAGUUGUGGGUUUGUCAAAACUCCAAAAAAACUCUAGUAUUGCUUUUUAAUUAUUAAAUCAGGCUUUUUUUUUUUAUUUAUAAAAAAGGUGAGGCCUUUAGU